RNAcentral lists this ribosomal RNA (291 nucleotides) under uncultured bacterium. Its description in RNAcentral is "partial 16S ribosomal RNA". It matches the Rfam family "Bacterial small subunit ribosomal RNA", at positions 505 to 796 of the family's 1533-position model. The record is from RNAcentral.
GUGCCAGCAGCCGCGGUAAAACGGGAGGGGCGAGCGUUAUCCGGCGUAACUAGGCGUAAAGUGUUUGUAGAUGGUAAAAUAAGUUAUUAGUUAAAAAUUAAAGCCUAACUUUAAAAAAGCUUUUAAUACUGUUUUACUUGAGUUUUAUACAGAAGAGUAGAAUUUUACAUGAAAGGGUGAAAUCUGCAGAUAUGUAAAGGAAUACCAAUAGCGAAGGCAACUCUUUAGUAAAAACUGACAUUGAGAAACGAAAGUAUGGGGAGCAAACAGGAUUAGAAACCCCUGUAGUCC